This 689-nucleotide unclassified non-coding RNA is filed under the name Schizosaccharomyces pombe (fission yeast). Its description in RNAcentral is "non-coding RNA (predicted)". The record is from RNAcentral. Lineage: Eukaryota; Fungi; Ascomycota; Schizosaccharomycetes; Schizosaccharomycetales; Schizosaccharomycetaceae.
AGCCCAUUCAAGCUGCAUAUUACGAUUUUGUUUUUCGCUUUUAGAAAGUGGUUUAGAUGAGAUAAUAGAAAAAUUCUUGAUCUCCGACAACGAGUACUUUUAUUUUUUUUGCUAAUCACUUUACUCAAUAUUAGCUCGAAAUCGUAGAAACGUAGACGGGUGCGGGAUACCGAGUGGUGUAGUUAAGAAUUUUUAUAAACCACGUGGCCCAAAAAUAUGAACCCAAAACGUUUAUACAUGAGUAUACUUUAAGAAGGCUAUACCCCUUCGUGUUAGAUGUAGUUUUAGCUACCCAACCCGAGUCUAUGAGCUUGACUUCAGAUGUAGAAGGCAUUAAAUCGUUUUGAAUAUUAAUUAAAAAACGAUGAAAAUUAAAUAUUUAAAAGCAAUCAUACGCUGAAAAUUUAGUGCUGUGGCUAAUCCUUCAACAUGGAAAUGCCAUAAAAGUGACUUUGACAAAAAAAAAAGUAUAUACAGGUAGUAAACUCAUCUACUUCAUUGACUUUGUUUACAGCAUGUGGAAGGAGGAAUAUUUAUUGCUAAAUCGUAGUUUAACAUUCAAUAAGUAAUACUAUUGAAAUUCGACAAGAUUGGCCGCAUGGAUGAAAAAGAGGCAUUUUGCUUUGGGAGAAUUAGUUCAAAUUAGAACUGAAAAAAAAAACUUUACGAGGCAAAAAUGUCGGAUUGAG